Molecule: long non-coding RNA, 3767 nt
Organism: Mercenaria mercenaria
Lineage: Eukaryota; Metazoa; Mollusca; Bivalvia; Venerida; Veneridae
Exons: 3
Source: RefSeq, a predicted model, not a curated record
UAAUGUUGAAGGGAUGAGAUUUUCUUUCUAACACACCAGGUUUGCUUAAACAUGUAAAAAUUUAACGCCACGUCUGUUCAUCUCGGGAUGGACGCCAUAUUUCUCAUUGAUAAAAAAUGUAAACAAAAAAAUCAGAGUGGGAUUAGCAUUGCAAGGGCAUAACAUGACAUUCUACACAAUGAAUACCUUAGAACAGAUAUCUAAGAUGCUACACAGGUCAGGCGGGUUAAAUGCAUAAUGUCGAUCACUUGAAAUUCAUCUUGAAAAGGUGGUUAAUUUUAGUUUGUUUACAUGGUUUUUAAUUUUCCCACGACUUCUCGGCGAUUCACUGCAAAUGUAUUACUGCGCCGGACGAAAGGUAACUCUAAUAAACAACGGGAGACAACUUAGGUGUCAGCACGUGUACGAUUUUUAAAAAAAACAUGUCGAUGAUUAUAAUUUCUUAUCAAAUAAUGAAUCCUAUUCAGAUAUUCGUCUUUAAUAUUAGAAAAUUAUUAAUUUCUGUGGACAUUUGUCAAAUAAUAUUACUUACAGUGGGCUACUUUGCGCAUCAAACUGGUUUCCCCUUCAGUUGUGAGGCACUUCCGUUAUACUUUUUGACAACAAUAACAAAACACAAAAUGAAUCAAUAAAGUCACUUAUAAACCGACUGCUACUUAAAUCAGUGUAAGUAAAGUUGUUGUUACAACAUUAUACAUGUUCGUUACGUUAUGAGAUAAAGUUUAUCUUGAACUGCAUAAUCCAUUAAUUACGUUUAGAUGAUAUUGCAUUUACAACUUAUUUGACCCCGUUUUUUACGUGAAUGACAGCAUUCUCGUGCAACUCGUGCAAACAGAAUUAUGAAAAGUAUGGUGGAGAAUUCAAGGACAAAUAAUAAAUGACAUUAAAGUGAGGAUAACUGUAUAUUCGUCCAGUUUUGAUCAUUGACAUUCCUGCUGUUUAUUAGUAACUUUUGUUAACAAGAUUAGAAUGUUGCUUUUGCACAUAUACACAUUGAUUGGACCUCUCAACCAAAUUUCAUACCUUAUUUUAGGGAUUUUUAAGACAAUACAAUUCAAAAGUUUGUUGAAUGUGUUUUGAUAUUUAAGUGCAUUGUAGUUCAUGAAUACCAAGUUAAAAAUUAAUAAUGCCAACAUUUCUAGGCCUUUAUUGUAAGCCACUAGACUUCUGUAACGAUAAAUGUUUGAUGUAUUAAGGGGAAUAUACUCUUUUAGUUUUGUAAUGUGGCAUUCCUUGACCACCGUAUCUUUUCUUAUGCACUACUUUGUAAACAAACUAAAUAAUGUGUUUUAGCUCACAUAUGCGAAAUGAAAAGCAAGACAGUGAACUUAUUUCACAUUCUUUCUUUAAAUUAGAAUCUGUAGGACAUUGAUAAAUGUUUGGACAAAGUGAAGCACUAUUAUUUUCGCACCAAAAAGUCUUAAUUGUUGACUUUGAAUGUACACAAGAAGUAUUAGGUAAUUCAACAAUAACUUUCUUGCUUCAGUUUUUCUCAUUUUUAUUUUAGUGAGCAAUCCUUUGUGUACUUAUAACAGUUGAAACAGUAUUCAUUUCAUUUACCAAAACCUUGUACUUUUUUGCAGGUAAAUUUUAUAAUACCCCACCCACUUUUUUCUAAUUUCAAAGUAUGCGUCCCCUUAAUACAUAGAAAAUUAUUUUUAAUUUGCCUCAGUUUGACAUUUCUGCUUUAGAUAGUUUUAAUAAUCGGAAGGUAUUGUAUUUAGGAUUGUCCAAGAAAACCUAGACCCUUAGACGUACUUUCUGAUAAUACACUUUGUCGUGGGACCCACCGUUAGUUUUCAGAGAUGAUGACUGUUAUCAAAUCAGCUACAAGGAAAUUGACUGUGACAAAAGAUGGAGAUAUUUUCCUGGCGAAUACAAGAAAACAAUCGCUACUUUGUCAAAAUUGAAAUCUAAUGUCUCUUUCGUCUUUCGUGUAAGAGCUGUAUAUUUAGAUAGAGAGGGGUCUUACAGCGCAGAGAGCGAUGUUUUGACUAUAUGUCAAUCUCCUGCAUUUCGUUUUGCAACCGUUUCCACGAACGAAUUGAAUGCUGACUCCUCACCAACAAUAUUUCCAGUACCCAGGACCGAGGUAACGUCAGAAAGACAUAAAGCCGGGAAAAUACGGACAUUUGAAAUUGAUUUACUACAAAAGGUGAACCUCUAGUAGGGAUAGCCAAGUCCAAAACAAUCAUACUGGUUGGAGCUACGGGAAGUGGUAAGAGUACUCUCGUUGACGGAUAAUCAACUAUGUGCUAGGCGUUAAUUGGGACGAUCCAUACAGGUUUACCGUUAAAGUUGUUACUAAAGGGGACGCAGAGAGAAGGGAAAACAAGGCCUUAAGCCAAGAAGACUGAAUAACAUGUUAUACACUCAAUCCCGAAAAUGGUAGUCGCCUUAGCUAUCAACUAAAUAUAAUAGACACCCCUGGAUUCGGUGACACACGUGGUGUGGGAAGAGAUCAAGCAAUGGUCGAUCAAGUGCGAAUAUUGUUUUCCGAGGAAAACCCGGAAGGUAUCUCAAAUAUUGACGCUGUCUGCUUUCUUUUAAAAGCACCUGAUGCUAGGCUAACUUUACCUCAGAUGUAUAUAUUUCAGUCAGUGAUGUCACUUUUCGGUAAUGAUGUAGAAAGGAAUAUAUGUUCUUUAAUUACGUUUGCCGAUGGGAAAGAGCCCCCAGUAUUGGCUGCAAUGAAAUGCCAUUCGGCUGUACAUUCCCUUUUAAUAACUGUGCCCUCUACGCAAAAAAAAUGUAAAGUUAAGUAAUGCAAGUUUGUCGCCAAUGUUCUGGGAUAUAAGUGUUUCAGGUUUCCGUAGUUUCUUUGAAUACCUGGACGGAGUCGAAAGCUGCAGUCUUGAAAAAACUAGAGACGUUCUGCGUGAGCGGUCAAAAUUAGAUGCUGUUGCCAAGAAACUACAGCCGCUUAUUGACUUCGGGCUUUUGAAAACAGGUCGCCUACGUCAAGAACAAAACGAAAUAUUAGAAACCAGGCGUUCACUUGAACGUAACAAAACUUUAAAAUUGAGGUCAUAGAAGAACAACAAAGAAAGCGUGAUUUGCCGAGGGGACAGUAUGUAACAAAUUGUCUACACUGUAACAUAUCGUGUCAUGUCAAUUGCACAUGUUCCAUUGCGGAUAAGGCUAAAUGUAGUGUUAUGAAUGCUUAUGGCUAUUGUAAAUUUUGUCCUGGUAAAUGCCGUUGGCAACAUCAUGCUACUACUCCAUAUAUAUUUGAAAGGGUUACUGUAAAGUGAAGAAAACGUAUCCUGAAAUGCAACAAAAAUAUUUUGAACAAACUCAAAGACUGUGUUCGCAAGAAAUUCUCGUCAAGAAUCUAAAACAAGAACUGAACGAUAUAUUUGAUAACGCACAAGGUCUGAUGGCUGAAUUUCAAAAAUGUACGAACAGACUGAAAGAAAUAGCUUUGCAAGGAAACCCUUUCGUGAUGUUAGAAGAGCAUUUAGAUGUAUUACUUGAAAAUGAGAAAUUAGAAAGAAAAGAGGGUUUCAUGCAGAGAAUAUCACUUUUAAAGGAAAUGCAGAAAAGAGCAUGCAUGCUUCAGUAUUUCGAACAGUUUCAAGAAGAGUCAAAAAAGUUGUAGUUACACUGCUGAAUGGCAUAGACGUUUAUUUCAGUUUGAAAGAAAAACAUGUGCGUGCAAAGGAACAAAAAUUAUCAUAUACCAUUCAAUCAUAUCAGAAAAUUACCUUAUUUUAGUAAAAGGUAUUAAGAUCUACAAGGGAGUUCAAUAAAUACCCAGAAAGGUU